CCUGUUUGUUGAAGAAACAAUAAAAUGUUAUCCAGCCCGUUCACAAAAAUAGGGAAGCAUGAUCAUUAAAACCAAAACAUCAAGAUGAAGCCAUCAAAUGUACCUUCGGAACUUGCUUUUUGGGUUUCUCAUUGGACUCCGAGCCAUCAACAGGUACUAACUGCAGAUUGCUAUCAUCUGCAUCUUUCACCUCUAGUUGUGUUUUAGUUUUGCAAUUUGCACACAACAAUACUGUUUCUGAUAUCUCAUAAUCUUGAGGAAAAGUUUGCACGCCCACAUCAACUUUGUCAACAAGCAGAAUCGGCUUAGAUUCUUCAGGCUUAUAGGAAAAUCUGAAGGAAGAUCGCCUCAAUACAGAACUCCUGCAAUGACUAUCAAUAAUUUCCAUGCCACGAUGAAGGCUGGCCGCUAAAUGUUCAGUUGAUGCAAGGAAACUCUUACUGGUUUGAGGAAUUAGAGCAGUUGAAGGUUCGGAUUUUGCAGAGGAUAUACGGUUCUCUGGUCCU
This 506-nucleotide long non-coding RNA is filed under the name Populus trichocarpa (black cottonwood). Its description in RNAcentral is "long non-coding RNA (PTRI_LNC003334)". The record is from RNAcentral. Lineage: Eukaryota; Viridiplantae; Streptophyta; Magnoliopsida; Malpighiales; Salicaceae.